GGACCCGUGGCUCAGCCAGGAUAGAGUGCGGGCCUGCGGAGCCCGUGGUCCCGGGUUCGAAUCCCGGCGGGUCCG
Molecule: transfer RNA, 75 nt
Filed under: Metallosphaera yellowstonensis MK1
Lineage: Archaea; Thermoproteati; Thermoproteota; Thermoprotei; Sulfolobales; Sulfolobaceae
Also listed under: 1 other name
Rfam family: tRNA
About the family: Transfer RNA (tRNA) molecules are approximately 80 nucleotides in length.
Source: Rfam by way of RNAcentral